Cygnus olor (mute swan) is the source of this 1044-nucleotide long non-coding RNA. RefSeq lists it as uncharacterized. Lineage: Eukaryota; Metazoa; Chordata; Aves; Anseriformes; Anatidae. The transcript has 5 exons. The record is from RefSeq and is a predicted model, not a curated record.
GAGAUGUUAAAGGUAGGUGUGCUAGAAGACAUGCAAUAAUACUGCAGAAAUCAGCCAUGUUGCUGAAAGGAUUUAUCUCUGUUUCCAGCCUGGCACAGAAUGUAAAUGGUACAUAGAGUCCUCUGACUCCUUUUUUGUUUUCUCUUCCUUCAUCUUUCUUCUCGUAUGUUUUGGACCUUCUGAAUUCAAGACAGGUACCAUAAAGUAGUCCCUAAAAGUCAGAUAGCUGAAAGCAAUCCUUCUGUCUUCAAGCUCAAGUUUAUUUUUUGUUAUUUCAGCUUUCUUGAGUAAAGACAAGGGAUGAAGGUAAGAAGUGAGUCACACAUUUGAAGAGAAGAUCUGAGUAACAGGAAGCAAGAGAGAAGAUGAGGAGAGGAUGAAGGAGUAAAGUCAAUGCUAGAGAAGAAACUUUGCUUAGAAGAUAAACUGCAAGGCUCACAGUGAAUCACAGCUCUUGUGAAGUGGCAGAGCAUUCCGGUUCCAUUUUAUAGAAGGAGAUCUGAAACAAAGAUGUGGGUAAACGUCAGUGCAGUUGGAAGACGCAUUCAGCAAUACCUCUAUUGCUCUGCUGCCCCAUAGGUGAAGAGCAGCGUCCUGGCACUGGUGGUUAUCUAUCCUUCUGUAUUUAAUCCCUAAUCACCUGUUGGGAGGAGAGUAAGAAAACAAGCAGAUCAUUCCUAUUUCCAUGCCUGCACCUGGAUCUUAGCAGGGAUGUAAGGGGAGACUUGCCCCCCUAGCCUGGAGAUGCUGUUAACAUUGCAGUAUAACCUGUAGCAUCAAAGGUACAAAGACUAUGGCGAGCUUUAAACAAAUGAGAGGGACAGAGAACCUGCAAACAAAACAGGUAGCGACAGGCAUGACCAGCCAACGUGGUUCAUGGCAGAGCCCAGACAUGCAAUUAAAGCAAAAUUCAACUCCCUCUGUGUAGAGCAGAUUGAUUGGAGAGGUAUUGUCAUUUAACCUCUGAGAGUUUUAUCAGGCUGUAGUGGUGUCAGCUCUCUUUGGGCUUAUUUAUCUGAGUCAUUAAUAAGUCAUCAGAGACAU